This is a long non-coding RNA of Microplitis demolitor, 930 nucleotides long. RefSeq lists it as uncharacterized. The transcript is spliced from 3 exons. Lineage: Eukaryota; Metazoa; Arthropoda; Insecta; Hymenoptera; Braconidae. The record is from RefSeq and is a predicted model, not a curated record.
CUACCCCUCAAGAAUUAUUGGCCAGUAUUGUAUUAAUUAUCAGUGUAUUGAUUAAAGUGAAAUUUAAGUGAAACAAAUCUUAGCAUUUCAAAUCGAUCAUUAAUUAAUAGAAAUUAAUGUAAAUUUCGUGUGCGAAAAAAGCGUCCAAGUACCCUGGAUGGCGAGUCCGAACACACCAAUAUAAAUAAAACAACAAAAAAUAUAUAAUUAAUCAAUUAUUUGAAAUAUAUAUAUACAUAUGAAUAUUUAAUAUAUUUAUACAUAUGUAUAUACGGGCCGUAGUCCCGUGUCUGCAACCUGUCUCGUAGUGACUGCAACCUAAGCUGCUGAUCAAAUUUCUUACAAUUUACUGCCAGAUUAAUCAAGAAACGCUUAUCAAAAAAGCUUAUACGCAAUUUAUGGAUUGGCGGCAAACUAGUAAUUUUUGUUUCCAAAUUUAGCAGAAAUUCUUUAAUUGUUUUUCUCCAUCUAGUAAGAAUUAUUAUUAUCAACAUUAAAGUUUUAUGCGACAAAAUUAUCUCAAAAAAAUUAUUAUCAUUGGAAAUGGUAAAGGUCACUACUUUCAGCAGAUAAAAACUAGCGAUCUCAAAUCGAUUACACAAAAGCUCAUAGAACUUCGAGAACAACGAUUGCUCAAGAUACAAAAUCAAAAAAAUGUCGAAAACAAUUUUAUUAUUAUUAAUUUUCGUAUUGAUUGGUCUCUACGCUGGUACAGAUGCAGCAUGUCCAGGCGGUUGGUGCCAUCCAUCCCAAGGUUAUGGCUGUUGUGAAGGAAAUGUGUGCGAUUCGUAUUUGUUCCAAGGUACGUGCAUAACUACUCAGGAGGCCAUGCGUCUACUACCUCCUCCAGGAAAAUAAUUAUAGCAAUACAGUAAAAAUUUAAAGAUGUAUUUUUUGAAUCAAUAAAACUUUCAAUACACAGAAAAUUUA